CGAUGAGUAGGGCGGGACACGUGACAUCCUGUCUGAAUAUGGGGGGACCAUCCUCCAAGGCUAAAUACUCCUGACUGACCGAUAGUGAACCAGUACCGUGAGGGAAAGGCGAAAAGAACCCCGGCGAGGGGAGUGAAAUAGAACCUGAAACCGUGUACGUACAAGCAGUGGGAGCACCUUCGUGGUGUGACUGCGUACCUUUUGUAUAAUGGGUCAGCGACUUAUAUUUUGUAGCAAGGUUAACCGUAUAGGGGAGCCGUAGGGAAACCGAGUCUUAACUGGGCGAAUAGUUGCAAGGUAUAGACCCGAAACCCGGUGAUCUAGCCAUGGGCAGGUUGAAGGUUGGGUAACACUAACUGGAGGACCGAACCGACUAAUGUUGAAAAAUUAGCGGAUGACUUGUGGCUGGGGGUGAAAGGCCAAUCAAACCGGGAGAUAGCUGGUUCUCCCCGAAAGCUAUUUAGGUAGCGCCUCGUGAACUCAUCUUCGGGGGUAGAGCACUGUUUCGGCUAGGGGGCCAUCCCGGCUUACCAAACCGAUGCAAACUCCGAAUACCGAAGAAUGUUAUCACGGGAGACACACGGCGGGUGCUAACGUCCGUCGUGAAGAGGGAAACAACCCAGACCGCCAGCUAAGGUCCCAAAGUCAUGGUUAAGUGGGAAACGAUGUGGGAAGGCAUAGACAGCCAGGAUGUUGGCUUAGAAGCAGCCAUCAUUUAAAGAAAGCGUAAUAGCUCACUGGUCGAGUCGGCCUGCGCGGAAGAUGUAACGGGGCUAAACCAUGCACCGA
Molecule: ribosomal RNA, 789 nt
Filed under: Serratia marcescens
Lineage: Bacteria; Pseudomonadati; Pseudomonadota; Gammaproteobacteria; Enterobacterales; Yersiniaceae
Description: partial 23S ribosomal RNA
Rfam family: Bacterial large subunit ribosomal RNA
Source: RNAcentral